UACGUAGGGCGCGAGCGUUGUCCGGAAUUAUUGGGCGUAAAGCGCGUGUAGGCGGCUCGAUAAGUCUGCUGUGAAAGUUCAGGGCUCAACCCUGAAAUGCCGGUGGAAACUGUCGAGCUAGAGUCCGGAAGAGGCGAGUGGAAUUCCUGGUGUAGCGGUGAAAUGCGCAGAUAUCAGGAGGAACACCAAUGGCGAAGGCAGCUCGCUGGGACGGUACUGACGCUGAGACGCGAAAGCGUGGGGAGCAAACAGG
RNAcentral lists this ribosomal RNA (253 nucleotides) under uncultured bacterium. RNAcentral's name for it is "partial 16S ribosomal RNA". It matches the Rfam family "Bacterial small subunit ribosomal RNA", at positions 524 to 776 of the family's 1533-position model. The record is from RNAcentral.